This 492-nucleotide ribosomal RNA is filed under the name uncultured bacterium. Its description in RNAcentral is "bacterial SSU rRNA". It matches the Rfam family "Bacterial small subunit ribosomal RNA", at positions 903 to 1397 of the family's 1533-position model. The record is from RNAcentral.
AAAGGAAUUGACGGGGGCCCGCACAAGCGGUGGAGCAUGUGGUUUAAUUCGAUGAUACGCGAGGAACCUUACCAGGGCUUAAAUGUAGAUUGACAGAGGUGGAAACACUUCCUUCUUCGGACAAUUUACAAGGUGCUGCAUGGUUGUCGUCAGCUCGUGCCGUGAGGUGUCAGGUUAAGUCCUAUAACGAGCGCAACCCCUGUCGUUAGUUGCCAGCGAGUCAUGUCGGGAACUCUAACGAGACUGCCAGUGCAAACUGUGAGGAAGGUGGGGACGACGUCAAAUCAUCACGGCCCUUACGUCCUGGGCUACACACGUGCUACAAUGGUAGGGACAAAGAGCAGCCACUGGGUGACCAGGAGCGAAUCUUCAAACCCUAUCUCAGUUCGGAUCGAAGUCUGCAACUCGACUUCGUGAAGCUGGAAUCGCUAGUAAUCGCAGAUCAGCCAUGCUGCGGUGAAUACGUUCCCGGGCCUUGUACACACCGCCCGU